This 485-nucleotide long non-coding RNA is filed under the name Capsella rubella. RNAcentral's name for it is "long non-coding RNA (CRUB_LNC003983)". The record is from RNAcentral. Lineage: Eukaryota; Viridiplantae; Streptophyta; Magnoliopsida; Brassicales; Brassicaceae.
CGGAAGCGAGCUUUCCCCAUCCAUCGUCGUUGUGUUAUUUUUGUUUCAAGCUUACAAUUUGUUUUUUUUGUUUUCUAAGUUUUUAUUUGCUGUGUCAGCCUAAUCAGAUAUGCAAAUGCAAGACAUAUGAACAAGUUCAGUUACCAUUUUUCUUAGAAGAUGAUUUAUCUGAAAUUUUAUCUUAAGUAUACUUUAAAAAGAAAAAUUAUUGUAUUACAAGCAAAUAACUCCUUUAUUUCUUUUUUUUCUUUUUCAGAUUUUAAAAUUAUCCCAUGAAAUCCUUAACCUCAGAUCAAAUCUUGAGAUUCUAAACCUUUAAUUAUUACACUUAUUAAACAUCUGGACUAUUUAAUUUUCUUACAAAUUAAAACAAAAACUGAGACAAGAUCGUAUAGUAUAUUCACUUAUUUAGUUUAUUCAUCGAUUUAUUUGACCAACAGUUUGCUCUAUUGGAUAUGCUCUUUCUGACCAUUCAUUUGUUUACU